Molecule: small nuclear RNA, 134 nt
Organism: Lutra lutra (Eurasian river otter)
Lineage: Eukaryota; Metazoa; Chordata; Mammalia; Carnivora; Mustelidae
Product: U4 spliceosomal RNA
Exons: 1
Source: RefSeq, a predicted model, not a curated record
AGCUUUGCGCAGUGGCAGUAUCGUAGCCAAUGAGGUUUAUCCGAGGCGCGAUUAUUGCUAAUUGAAAAAACUCUCUUCAAAACUCACAAUGGAGCAGCAACACUGCUUGGCAAACUUGAGGCAAUUCAAGAGAA